Molecule: long non-coding RNA, 126 nt
Organism: Aricia agestis (brown argus)
Lineage: Eukaryota; Metazoa; Arthropoda; Insecta; Lepidoptera; Lycaenidae
Exons: 2
Source: RefSeq, a predicted model, not a curated record
UUGUUUUCUUUUUUUAAAUCUCCACCAGACAGCGCAACGAUAGACACUUCUAGAUUUCUAUUGGUUCCCCACCCUUCUCAAAUUAUCUGCAGGUUGGCAUCACUGACUACAUAUGGGUUGUGUUUC